UUCUUAUGUAAAAUGAUUAAGAGAUGUACGGUUAGAAUGAUAUGGACCCUCAAGGGUUGAGUAGGUGGUUGGUUGAAUGGUAUGAUUUAACGGAUGAAAAUGAUCAAAAUGGUAAAUCUAAUGGCGGAAAACUUGGUAGUACCAAGUGCUUCGUGCUAUUAAUAGCAUAGUAGCCGGACUCAAUUAGAACUAGGCUACUAUAUUAUUAAUAGUACCAAGUCAUUGGUGCUACCAAGUUUUUGGCUAUUGGAUUAAGAAAUGUGCGUUUAGGAUGAUAUGGGCUCCCUAGGGUUGAGUGGGUGGUUGAUUGAAUAGUAUGAUCUAACGGAUGAAAAUGAUCAAAGUGGUAGAUCUAACGGCGGAAAACUUAGUAGUACCAAGUGCUUCGUGCUAUUAAUAGCAUAGUAGUCAGACUCAAGUAAUUAAUAUAAUAAAAAAGAAAGGGUUAUGUGUUAUUGGGAGUUGAAGACUAUUUCAUGUA
RNAcentral lists this long non-coding RNA (481 nucleotides) under Ananas comosus (pineapple). RNAcentral's name for it is "long non-coding RNA (ACOM_LNC004937)". Lineage: Eukaryota; Viridiplantae; Streptophyta; Magnoliopsida; Poales; Bromeliaceae. The record is from RNAcentral.